UACGUAGGGUGCGAGCGUUGUCCGGAAUUAUUGGGCGUAAAGGGCUCGUAGGCGGUUUGUCGCGUCGGGAGUGAAAACCAGGUGCUUAACACCUGGCUUGCUUUCGAUACGGGCAGACUAGAGGUAUUCAGGGGAGAACGGAAUUCCUGGUGUAGCGGUGAAAUGCGCAGAUAUCAGGAGGAACACCGGUGGCGAAGGCGGUUCUCUGGGAAUGACCUGACGCUGAGGAGCGAAAGUGUGGGGAGCGAACAGGA
Molecule: ribosomal RNA, 254 nt
Filed under: uncultured bacterium
Lineage: Bacteria
Description: partial 16S ribosomal RNA
Rfam family: Bacterial small subunit ribosomal RNA
Source: RNAcentral